Molecule: ribosomal RNA, 482 nt
Filed under: uncultured bacterium
Lineage: Bacteria
Description: partial 16S ribosomal RNA
Rfam family: Bacterial small subunit ribosomal RNA
Source: RNAcentral
AUUGAACGCUGGCGGCAUGCUUUACACAUGCAAGUCGAACGGUAACAGGCCGCAAGGUGCUGACGAGUGGCGAACGGGUGAGUAAUGCAUCGGAACGUGCCCAGUCGUGGGGGAUAACUACUCGAAAGAGUAGCUAAUACCGCAUACGAUCUAUGGAGGAAAGCGGGGGACCGCAAGGCCUCGCGCGAUUGGAGCGGCCGAUGUCAGAUUAGGUAGUUGGUGGGGUAAAGGCACACCAAGCCAACGAUCUGUAGCUGGUCUUAGAGGAGGAGCAGCGAAACUGGUACUGAGACGCGGCCCAGACUCCUACGGGAGGCAGCAGUGGGGAAUUUUGGACAAUGGGCGCAAGCCUGAUCCAGCAAUGCCGCGUGCAGGAAGAAGGCCUUCGGGUUGUAAACUGCUUUUGUACGGAACGAAACGGCUCUGGUUAAUACCCGGAGCUAAUGACGGUACCGUAAGAAUAAGCACCGGCUAACUACGUG